RNAcentral lists this small nucleolar RNA (112 nucleotides) under Castor canadensis (American beaver). RNAcentral describes it as "Small nucleolar RNA SNORA3/SNORA45 family (ENSCCNG00000002313.1)". The record is from RNAcentral. Lineage: Eukaryota; Metazoa; Chordata; Mammalia; Rodentia; Castoridae.
AUAGUGACCAGAGUUAUAUUCUGACCCAGAACUUACCCUGGUGUGCUAGAGUUCUUGACUCACUGGUGGGGAGUAGUCGGUGCCCAUGUUAGUGCCCAGAUCAGAAACAUUC